AUUUCUAGCAUUUAUGAAGUAUAUUUUAUAGUUUAUUAGCACUUUUUUGAUAUAAUAUAAAUACUAUAUAACAUAAUUAUAAAGCUCAAAAAAGACUCAAAUUUAUCUUUUUUGGGUUUAGGUUAGGGUUAAAUAUGUAACAUAAUACUAUAUUAUGUUAUACAAAAUGAAAGGAAACUUAUAUGAAACUUACAAAAGAUAAUUUUUUAGAUAAUUUAGACUUUUGGCUUGAGGCUUAUUUUUCUCAUUUUAAAGCUUUAAAUUAUUCAAAUAAUACAAUUAUGCUUUAUGAGAGGGUUUUAAAUGAAUUUAGAGAGUAUUCUUUAGAUUUUCAGGACGAAAUAGAAUUUAAAGAGAUAAAAAGUGCAUAUAUUUUGAA
Molecule: unclassified non-coding RNA, 379 nt
Filed under: Campylobacter upsaliensis RM3195
Lineage: Bacteria; Pseudomonadati; Campylobacterota; Epsilonproteobacteria; Campylobacterales; Campylobacteraceae
Description: sRNA
Source: RNAcentral